Molecule: unclassified non-coding RNA, 210 nt
Filed under: soil metagenome
Description: partial contains 5.8S ribosomal RNA, internal transcribed spacer 2, and large subunit ribosomal RNA
Source: RNAcentral
AACCUAGCACACCUGCGGUGUGUACCUGCGGAAGGAUCAUUACCGAGUUUACAACUCCCAAACCCCUGUGAACAUACCUUUAUGUUGCCUCGGCGGAUCAGCCCGCGCCCCGUAAAACGGGACGGCCCGCCGCAGGACCACAAAACUCUGAUUUUAGUGUAACUUCUGAGUCUAAAAAACAAAUAAAUCAAAACUUUUAACAACGGAUCU